AUGUUUCCCAAAUGCAGGUGCUGUAAUCUAUUUGAAUUAGCACUGUCAGCUCAAACAACCCCAAAGGAUAUGCUUUCUGCGGUGACCCAGAUAAGUUUGAGGGGGCUGUGGAAAGGCUCACGGUGCACCUCUGUGAGUGUUGCUGGAGUGGCGAUGGGCAGAUGGCACCUUCCUUCUCCUCAGCCUCCUUCACCCAGCGGCAUGUGGGGUUUCAGCAGGAGGGAGCAGCAGGUUGCAGGGCUGGUGAGAUUUUUCUGA
Molecule: long non-coding RNA, 258 nt
Filed under: Falco tinnunculus (common kestrel)
Lineage: Eukaryota; Metazoa; Chordata; Aves; Falconiformes; Falconidae
Description: lncRNA (ENSFTIG00000006802.1)
Source: RNAcentral